GGGUCGGUGCCCGAGUGGCCAAUGGGAUCUGGCUGUAAACCAGACGGCUUUGCCUACGGGGGUUCGAAUCCCUCCCGGCCCACCA
Molecule: transfer RNA, 85 nt
Filed under: Actinobacteria bacterium 21-73-9
Lineage: Bacteria; Bacillati; Actinomycetota
Also listed under: 2 other names
Description: tRNA-Tyr
Rfam family: tRNA
About the family: Transfer RNA (tRNA) molecules are approximately 80 nucleotides in length.
Source: RNAcentral